GGCAGCCGCGGUAAUUCCAGCUCCAAUAGCGUAUAUUAAAGUUGUUGCAGUUAAAAAGCUCGUAGUUGAAUUUCGGGACCAUCAUGUCGGUCGUGCCUCGGUACGUACUGGCACUGUUGGUUUCUCCCUUCUGACGAACCAUGAUGUCAUUUAUUUGGUGUUGUGGGGAAUCAGGACUGUUACUUUGAAAAAAUUAGAGUGUUUAAAGCAGGCUCACGCUUGAAUACAUUAGCAUGGAAUAAUGAAAUAGGACGUUUGAUUCUAUUUUGUUGGUUUCUAGGAUCGACGUAAUGAUUAAUAGGGAUAGUUGGGGGCAUUAGUAUUCAAUUGUCAGAGGUGAAAUUCUUGGAUUUAUUGAAGACUAACUACUGCGAAAGCAUUUGCCAAGGAUGUUUUCAUUAAUCAAGAACGAAAGUUAGGGAUCGAAGACGAUCAGAUACCGUCGUAGUCUUAACCAUAAACUAUAGCCGACUAGGGAUCGGAUGAUGUUAAUUUUUAAUGUACUCAUUCGGCGUCCUUA
RNAcentral lists this ribosomal RNA (520 nucleotides) under uncultured Glomus. RNAcentral's name for it is "SSU rRNA". It matches the Rfam family "Eukaryotic small subunit ribosomal RNA", at positions 569 to 1091 of the family's 1831-position model. The record is from RNAcentral. Lineage: Eukaryota; Fungi; Glomeromycota; Glomeromycetes; Glomerales; Glomeraceae.